Non-coding RNA from Bos taurus (domestic cattle), 73 nucleotides. The record is from Rfam. Lineage: Eukaryota; Metazoa; Chordata; Mammalia; Artiodactyla; Bovidae.
UCUUUGGUUGUCCAGUGGUUAGGACUCCAUGCUUUCACUGCCUAGGACCCAGGUUCGAUCCCUGGUCGGGGAA